CGCGUAGGCGGUCAAUUAAGUUAGGCGUGAAAGCCCUGGGCUUAACCUAGGAACUGCGUUUAAUACUGGUUGGCUAGAGUAUGGUAGAGGAAAGCGGAAUUCCUAGUGUAGAGGUGAAAUUCGUAGAUAUUAGGAAGAACACCAGAGGCGAAGGCGGCUUUCUGGACCAUUACUGACGCUGAGGCGCGAAAGCGUGGGGAGCAAACAGGAUUAGAUACCCUGGUAGUCCACGCUGUAAACGAUGUAUGCUAAACGUUGGGGGUUUAACCUUCAGUGUUGCAGCUAACGCAAUAAGCAUACCGCCUGGGGAGUACGGUCGCAAGAUUAAA
Molecule: ribosomal RNA, 329 nt
Filed under: uncultured bacterium
Lineage: Bacteria
Description: bacterial SSU rRNA
Rfam family: Bacterial small subunit ribosomal RNA
Source: RNAcentral